CAAGACAUGUUUUGACUAUGAUGAAGAAGAGAUGUCAGUCGGCCUGUUGAGCGUGAUCCCUGAGCUGAGGACUCUAGAGCCAUACCUAACUCACUGCAUUUAAUGCCACAUCUACUGCAAUAUUUUUGGAAGGUACAAUUGUAUUGGAUGAUCUGGAAAAUCCUCCCCAAGAUAUGCCUGCUCUUUGGACUUGGAUUUAUGCUAUGAAAUUAUAGUAUCCUCCAGUACUGAAGUACACCUUUGAUUUCAUUCAAUGGCUGAACCUAGAAUGCAAUCUCUGAAAAAUCUUCUGAUGUAGAAAGAUGUCAUUGUGGCGUGAUGGAGCAUUUUUCAGUGUAA
This is a long non-coding RNA of Sinocyclocheilus grahami, 339 nucleotides long. RefSeq lists it as uncharacterized. NCBI's taxonomy places the organism in Eukaryota, Metazoa, Chordata, Actinopteri, Cypriniformes, Cyprinidae. The record is from RefSeq and is a predicted model, not a curated record. The transcript has 3 exons.